This 245-nucleotide long non-coding RNA is filed under the name Elaeis guineensis (African oil palm). RNAcentral's name for it is "long non-coding RNA (EGUI_LNC023975)". The record is from RNAcentral. Lineage: Eukaryota; Viridiplantae; Streptophyta; Magnoliopsida; Arecales; Arecaceae.
GCUCAAUCCAGUGGACAGAGUUUACUAUGAAGAUGCAUCACCCCCUCUUCUUCGAUUUCAAUGCCAGUUGGGGGGAUUACUUGCAGGAUGUUCUAAAUUUGGUGGUUGAUCAUGUAAUUAUAUCUGUGGGCGGGCUACUCACAAUGUAUGGUGUGUUGUCUGGGUGUUCUUCUCUGUUCUGUAGCUCUGAAUAUUGUAUUAUAUUUCCUUUUCAAAUCUAGCAGUUGCUCUGUUUUCUUCCCCCC